Small nuclear RNA from Myotis lucifugus (little brown bat), 104 nucleotides. Lineage: Eukaryota; Metazoa; Chordata; Mammalia; Chiroptera; Vespertilionidae. The record is from Ensembl.
AUGCUGGCUUCGGCAGCACAUAUACUAAAAUUGGAACCAAAAAGUGAAGAUUAGCAUGGCCCUGAGCAAGGCUGAUGCAAAUUUGUGAAGUGUUAAAUAUUUAU